RNAcentral lists this long non-coding RNA (1120 nucleotides) under Struthio camelus australis. RNAcentral describes it as "lncRNA (ENSSCUG00000008360.1)". Lineage: Eukaryota; Metazoa; Chordata; Aves; Struthioniformes; Struthionidae. The record is from RNAcentral.
CGGCGCCAGCGACCCGGGCGCCUGGGCCGUAUGGGGCUAUAGGGGCCCUGGGCUGUAUAGGGCUGUGGGUUUCGUGGUCCGGGUGGGGCUAUAGAGACCGGUCUAUAUGGGGCUGCGGGGUCCCUGGGCUGUAUGGGGCUAUAGGGGCCCUAAGCUGCAUAGGGCUUUGGGUUCCCUGGGCCAUAUAUGGGGCUAUAGGGACCGGGCUGUGGGUUUCGUGGUCCGGGUGGGGCUAUAGAGACCGGUCUAUAUGGGGCUGCGGGGUCCCUGGGCUGUAUGGGGCUAUAGGGGCCCUAAGCUGCAUAGGGCUUUGGGUUCCCUGGGCCAUAUAUGGGGCUAUAGGGACCAGUCUAUUUGGGACUAUGAGUUCCCUGGGCCAUAUGGAGUUAUAGGGGCCAUUCUAUAUGGGGCUGUAGGGACCAGGCCAUACAGGGCUAUAGGGGAUCCUGGUCCAUAUAGCUCUAUAGAGAGUGGUUUGUAUGUCAUUAUAGAGCCCCAGUCCAUAGGGGGCUAUAGAGACUGAGCUAUAUAGGACUACGGGGAUACAGGUCUGUAUUAGACUAUAGGAACAGACUGUUUAGAGCCACAGUGAAUGGGCUAUACAGGGCUAUGGGGACCCUGGGCCAUAGGGGCCAUGAAGGUUGAGCCACUGAGGCUUUAGCAGCUGGUCCGGAGGGGCUAUGGGGGGGCAUUGGUCCCUAUGGGGAUAUAGGGACUGCUCCACAUGGGUCUGUGGGGCUAUAGAGACCAGCCCAUAUAGGGCUAUGGGGGCGGAGUUCAUAUAGGACUACAUGAACUGAUCUAUAUGGGACUUGGGGCAGGCCUGGGCCAUUCAAGAUUAUGGUGAUGGGUUCAUACAGGGCUUGGGGCUAUAGAAGACUGGACCAUAUGGGGCUGUGAGCCAUAUGGGACCGCGGGGACCUCCGGCAGUGUGCAAGUAGCACCCUGAAGUCCCUGGUGAACAAGGGGGUGAAGGUGGACCUGGGGGUCCCCGUGGAGCUGUGGGACAAGUCCUCAGCCGAGGUGACACAGCUGAAGCAGCAGGUGAGACCAUGGGGGGGGGGGUCCUUGUGGGGCCACCGGGGCCCUAAGGGGGUCCCAGGACAUGGAGCGGGAGCGC